UACGGGGGGGGCAAGCGUUGUUCGGAAUUACUGGGCGUAAAGGGCGCGUAGGCGGCCUUCUAAGUCAGACGUGAAAUCCCUCGGCUUAACCGGGGAACUGCGUCUGAUACUGGAGGGCUUGAAUUCGGGAGAGGGAUGUGGAAUUCCAGGUGUAGCGGUGAAAUGCGUAGAUAUCUGGAGGAACACCGGUGGCGAAGGCGGCAUCCUGGACCAAUAUUGACGCUGAGGAGCGAAAGCCAGGGGAGCAAACGGG
This 253-nucleotide ribosomal RNA is filed under the name uncultured bacterium. Its description in RNAcentral is "partial 16S ribosomal RNA". It matches the Rfam family "Bacterial small subunit ribosomal RNA", at positions 524 to 776 of the family's 1533-position model. The record is from RNAcentral.